UGGUUAGCCUGAUCAAUGCUUCAAAUAGCCCCAUACAACCAGGCAUUAGACUAGCGAAAUGGGUUUGUUUGUGGCGCCGAGAACUACUGUAUAGCGUAAUGGGUCUUGUGAGGUGAAAUAUAAUAGUGUAAAGGUUGCUAUGGGGUGAGAAAUGAUGGAGUGGAUAACCUAAUCAGUGCUUCAAAUAGCCCCAUACAAUCAGGCAUUAGUCUAGUGAAGUGGGUUUGUUUGUGGUACUAAGAACUGCCAUAUAGCGUAAUGGGUCUUGUGAGGUGAAAUAUUAGGGAGUGGUUAGCCUGAUCAGUGCUUCAAAUAUCCCCUUACAAGCAGGCAUUAGACCAGCGAAGGGGGUGUGUUUAUGGCACGAAGAACUGCCGUAUAGCGUAAUGGGUCUUGUGAGGUGAAAUAUUAGGGAGUGGUUAGCCUGAUCAGUGCUUCAAAUAUCCCCUUACAAGCAGGCAUUAGACCAGCGAAGGGGGUGUGUUUAUGGCUCUAAGAACUGCCAUAUAGCGUAAUGGGUCUUGUGAGGUGAAAUACUAUGGAGUGGAUCCCUUAUUCAAUGCCCAGAACCCCCUUGAAACUCAUUAUAAGUAGCCCUUAGUCCUUUGAGAGUCUAGCGAGGAAAAUGCAGCCCGAGUAACGCAUUUUGCCAGAGUCACCCAAGUCAGUCAUGUUACCAGUCAACGCACAGCUCACCCGCUCACCCGCCAGCCUUAAGACUAGUCCCGGGUGAGGCAGCGACCCCACCCAUCACACUCGCUGCCCAAACGUGCGGGUGAAAGAGUGGAGAGUAGACACCCGCGCCUGUCUCUACAUUCUGAGGGUUGGGUUUUUAGUGAAGGUGUUUCCUCUGAAUUGUUGAAAGUGCAGUGAAUUUGAGGUUGAGUUUUGUUAAUUGGUGCAGGUGAAGUGUGUCCCAGGUAGAGUUUGUUUGUUAACCCGGUAGCUGCGGGGAUCAUGUUUCUUAAAGGCCCCUCUCAGCGAGAAAAAUGAGAAAAAAACAUCACUCACGCAAACCAUUUCAUAAUAUAUAUCAACGCAUUUGUGAUCAGUUUAUGCAUCAUCUAUUUUGGGGGGUUUAUAUCAUGGCAAAAAUUUGGCCUGGCGCUGGUACACGGUAAAGUCACAAAUUUGCCCCAUCGCUGCUACCGGGUUAAAUUUUCUUAAUUUUCUUUUAUUCCUCAUUUUGUGUAACUUCUCUGAGCAACUUUUUUUUACGAGUUUUCUUUGCAACUUUUUAGUGUACCUAUUUUUGUUGCUGUUUUUUGUUUUGAAUUUGUCCUUGAGUGCAAAUUGGAAAGGUAUUUAUGAACUGGAGAACCAACUUUAACUUUUUUUAAUCUUUGUGUCUUUAAAAAUAUUCUUGGUGGUGACAAUUGACGAGGAAACACCUUUUAGUAUACCAUUCAUUACCUUUGUUACCCACUCAGCAUUUAUUAACCAACUACCUAUGUAUAUAAUUUCUCUCAUAUCCUCAUUACCUGUGUUUGUGGCAAGGCUUAUGUUAAGUUCCGCGAGACUCCGUUGGAAGGUAAAAAAGUAAUACCGACACGAUAUUUUUGUACCGCCCCGUGAUAGCGAAUAACACACAAGCUUCUUACACUAAACCUAAGUCGAUGUGUUGAUAUUUUAGUUCGUAUCUUUCUCUCUGUGGAGGUUUGAGGCUUGUCCCAAAAACCAGUGCAAAUCAUAGGCAUUUCCCAUAGCUACUGCAUUUACAGAACACCCCUAGCUCAUUGCCUAGACUAAUCAUAUGUACAAUUAAAUAUAUUAGACGAAAAUAAGAUGUGAUUAUAUAUAGACAAAUUAUUAUCCAUAUGAAAGUAUAUGUGAAGAUUUGACGAGACUACUAUAGCGUUUAUUUUGGAUUGGCGACAGUGCAGAGUUAAAAAUUGUAGGUGAACGAGACAUCCGCCGAGAGAGAUGAUGAUGUGUGUGUAAAUAUACGACUAGACGAGGAUGUUGCUUUGUCAUUUUUGUAUCAUAACAGGGAAGUAUAUGAACCACCGUAGCCAUUGAAUAAAAAUAAUAGAUGA
This is a long non-coding RNA of Eriocheir sinensis (Chinese mitten crab), 2036 nucleotides long. RefSeq lists it as uncharacterized. Lineage: Eukaryota; Metazoa; Arthropoda; Malacostraca; Decapoda; Varunidae. The transcript has 2 exons. The record is from RefSeq and is a predicted model, not a curated record.